UCUUAGAGAGGGGGAAAAAAAAAUAAAGCCUGCUGGGUAGCCAGGAUCCUGCAGGAAAGAAAACACUGAAUGUUGCCAUCUGGAUUCUCCUUAGACCCCAUGCCCACAGAGCCUCACAGUCAAAAACCUCUGGCUUCUACUCACCUGACGCCUGCUGCUGGUGACCCCAGGAUGCCUGGCCAUCCACCUCCUCCAGAGAUACCCUCAGAAGUGGGAGCUUGUGACCCGGAGAAGCCCGAGAGCACCAGAGCUGCCAGCAGCAGCUCCCCUGGAUCGCCGGUGGCCUCUAGCCCCAGCAAACAGAGUCCUGCCCCAG
Molecule: long non-coding RNA, 316 nt
Filed under: Rattus norvegicus (Norway rat)
Lineage: Eukaryota; Metazoa; Chordata; Mammalia; Rodentia; Muridae
Description: long non-coding RNA NONRATT001797
Source: RNAcentral